GAUGAACGCUGGCGGCAUGGCUAAAACAUGCAAGUCGAACGAUUAAAGCCCCUUCGGGGGUGUAUAAAGUGGCGAACGGGCGAGUAAUGCGUUUCUAACGUGCCCCGAGGUCGGGGAUAGCUGGGGGAAACCCCAGGUAAUACCCGAUGACCCCAUCGGAUCGCAUGGUUUGAUGGGCAAAGGCUUGCUGCCUCGGGAUCGGGAAACGUCCUAUCAGGUUGUUGGUGAGGUAACGGCUCACCAAGCCAGAGACGGGUAGCGGGUGUGAGAGCACGACCCGCCGCAUCGGGACUGAGACACUGCCCGGACUCCUACGGGAGGCUGCAGUAACGGAUAUUGGGCAAUGAGCGCAAGCUUGACCCAGCAAUGCCGCGUGCAGGAUGAAGCCCCUCGGGGUGUAAACUGCUGUCAGGGUUUAGGAAGCAAGUGACCAAACCCAAAGGAAGGGCCGGCUAACUUCGUGCCAGCAGCCGCGGUAAUACGAAGGGCCCGAGCGUUAAUCGGAAUCACUGGGCUUAAAGGGUGCGUAGGCGGAAACGUCAGUGUCUUGUGAAAUCCCACGGCUCAACCGUGGAACUGCAGGGCAUACUGCGUUUCUUGAGGCCGGUAGAGGUCGUCGGAACUCUAGGUGUAGCGGUGAAAUGCGUAGAUAUCUAGAGGAACGCCAAAGGUGAAGACAGGCGACUGGGCCGGUUCUGACGCUGAGGCACGAAAGCGUGGGGAGCAAACAGGAUUAGAUACUCUGGUAGUCCACGCCGUANACGUUGUGCACUAGAUCCGGGAGGUUUUGACGCCGUCCGGGUCGAAGAGAAAUUGAUAAGUGCACCGNCUGGGGAGUACGGUCGCAAGGCUAAAACUCAAAGGAAUUGACGGGGGCUCACACAAGCGGUGGAACAUGUGGCUUAAUUCGAGGCAACGCGAA
RNAcentral lists this ribosomal RNA (922 nucleotides) under uncultured organism. Its description in RNAcentral is "bacterial SSU rRNA". It matches the Rfam family "Bacterial small subunit ribosomal RNA", at positions 28 to 965 of the family's 1533-position model. The record is from RNAcentral.